Molecule: transfer RNA, 85 nt
Filed under: Pichia californica
Lineage: Eukaryota; Fungi; Ascomycota; Pichiomycetes; Pichiales; Pichiaceae
Description: Candida californica tRNA
Rfam family: tRNA
About the family: Transfer RNA (tRNA) molecules are approximately 80 nucleotides in length. Their secondary structure includes four short double-helical elements and three loops (D, anti-codon, and T loops).
Source: Rfam by way of RNAcentral
GCCUGGUUAGCUCAAUCGGUAGAGCGUUUGACUCUUAAAUUGCUUAGCAAUCAAAAGGCUGCGGGUUCGAGCCCCGCAUCGGGCU